GACGAACGCUGGCGGCGUGCUUAACACAUGCAAGUCGAACGGAAAGGCCCUGCUUUUGUGGGGUGCUCGAGUGGCGAACGGGUGAGUAACACGUGAGUAACCUGCCCUUGACUUUGGGAUAACUUCAGGAAACUGGGGCUAAUACCGGAUAGGAGCUCCUGCUGCAUGGUGGGGGUGGGAAAGUUUCGGCGGUUGGGGAUGGACUCGCGGCUUAUCAGCGUGUUGGUGGGGUAGUGGCUUACCAAGGCUUUGACGGGUAGCCGGACUGAGAGGGUGACCGGCCACAUUGGGACUGAGAUACGGCCCAGACUCCUACGGGAGGCAGCAGUGGGGAAUAUUGCACAAUGGGCGGAAGCCUGAUGCAGCAACGCCGCGUGCGGGAUGACGGCCUUCGGGUUGUAAACCGCUUUCGCCUGUGACGAAGCGUGAGUGACGGUAAUGGGUAAAGAAGCACCGGCUAACUACGUG
RNAcentral lists this ribosomal RNA (468 nucleotides) under uncultured bacterium. RNAcentral describes it as "partial 16S ribosomal RNA". It matches the Rfam family "Bacterial small subunit ribosomal RNA", at positions 28 to 507 of the family's 1533-position model. The record is from RNAcentral.